AGAUGUAGUGGAGGUGAAGGCACCUGAGACUUGCAGGUCCUGAGAGCAGAGCCCAGGCUCUCACUGUGUGUGAAUGCUGCCGCCCUCAGAUUCCCAGGUUUGCAGAACAGAGAAUGAGUCAGGUGACUAGUUAGGAUGCUGUUUACAGAGUGGUCCCCAAUGCUUGCUGGAUGUCAGGUGUCCAGGGUCCGUGAGGGGCUGGUUUGAUAGAGCAGAUACUUAAAGACUCAGUGGGUCAACGCUGUCUUUGGGACUGCGCGAGUCACUCGGGAUGCUGUGGGCAUCACUCGGGAUGCUGUGUGCUUCGAGGGACCUAGAGGAGGAUGAAAGACAGAAGCCAUUAGGAACUGAUGAACAGUUCGGGACACACAGUGUCACGAUGAAGAGGCUGUCAGGGACAAGGGAAGACAAGAAAGCAGCCAGCAGUUCCCUCUAGAAGCGGCAGAGUCGGCACAAGUGGGAGGUGCAUUAUGAAACAGCCACUGGCUUGGGGAAGGUGCACGCGGCUUGGGAGACUGGGGAAGCGGUGCAGCGAGUGCCACUAGGGGGUGCACGCAGCCUGAGAGCCUAGGGAGCUGCUGCAGCGAGUGCGGCUGGGUGGCGAGGAGGCUGGAGGAAGAGAUGAGUGAGGGCGUGGAAGGCUCUGUGGUAACUGUGGGGGCAGCAACACUGUCAGUUGUGUAUUUUAGAAGAAUUCCUUGGCUCAGGGGGAUGCGCUGUAGAGCAGGAUGGGUUUGAGAGGGAAUGGCAGGGAAGGAAAUAGGAAACCUCUGUCUGAAGGAAAGGAUGUGGACCCAAGCCGACUGGAUGUGGCUGGAAACAGGCAAGGGAUCAAGAGCUGUUUCAGAAAGCAGUGGCCAGACACUGGUGCCAUUUGUAUCUGAGGAGCACCGCCGCUUGUUACCACUCCUUACACUGUGGCCAGGGAGAAAGGAAGGUUAAUAUCAGAGCUAGCUGAUGUCAUAGUCACUGUUCUAUUGCUGGGAAGAGAUACCAUGGCCAGGCCAUGGUGUCUUUAUAGAAGAAAGAGUUUAUUGAGCUUCCAGUUUCAGAGGGUGGUGAGCCCAUGACCAUCAUGUGGGGAGUAUGGCAGCAGGCACGCAUGCAUGGCACUAUAGAAGUAGCUGAGAGAUUGCACCUGAUCCAGAGUCCAGAGGCAGUGGAGGGGGUUGCACACACACUAAGUGGAGAUGGUGGGGCUUUUAAAAUCCCCAAAGCCUGCCCCCAGAGACACACCUCUUCCAACAAGGCCACACCUCCUAAUCCUUCACAAUCAGUUCCACCAAGUGCAGACCAAACAUUCAAAUGGGGACCGUUCUCACUCAAAUCGCGACACUUGCUAUAGCCAGUCUGACAGACGAUUAAAACCCAUUGCAUCGAAGCAGGAGCAAUCAAUGCUGUCAUUUGCUUUUCUUAAGAUUUAGUUCCUUAUACGUGAAGUUUUGAGGAAGCUGGGGUAUAACUCGGUAGUAGGGUAUAUGCAAUGUACAAGCCUGGGCUUAAUCCCCACGAGGAAGUUAACACUCAUGUUAAAAUUUUCCCACACACGUGCAUGCACAUACACUUUCUACACCCUCACCCACAUACAUAACCACGUGCACACACUUGCACUAACACAUGCACAGAGAAACACACACACAUACACUGUACAAUACUCACACUGUCAUAUACACGUUCAACUUAUGUACUCUAUGCAUAUACUCUCACACAUUCACAUACAACAUAUAUGCACAGUGCUCAUACAUUCUAUACAGCUAUCCAUACAUGUACAAUUAUACUCAAAUACACAUUCACACAAUGAUACCAUACACUCACAAUACUUAUAUACAUAAACCCAUACAUAGAUACAUAGUCCAUAUACUUGCCGUACCUAAACACUCCACAUACAUGUGUACACACAGAAAUACUGACGUACACUCAAUUGCAGACAUACUCAUACUUCACAUGAACUCUUACACAUUCAGCUACAUGUAUACCCUACACACACACUUGCAUAUACUAAACCUCAUACAUUCACACAA
This is a long non-coding RNA of Mus musculus (house mouse), 2021 nucleotides long. RefSeq annotates it as predicted gene, 40179. The record is from RefSeq and is a predicted model, not a curated record. The transcript has 2 exons. NCBI's taxonomy places the organism in Eukaryota, Metazoa, Chordata, Mammalia, Rodentia, Muridae.